GAUGAACGCUGGCGGCGUGCCUAAUACAUGCAAGUCGAGCGAACGGACGAGAAGCUUGCUUCUCUGAUGUUAGCGGCGGACGGGUGAGUAACACGUGGAUAACCUACCUAUAAGACUGGGAUAACUUCGGGAAACCGGAGCUAAUACCGGAUAAUAUCUUGAACCGCAUGGUUCAAAAGUGAAAGACGGUCUUGCUGUCACUUAUAGAUGGAUCCGCGCUGCAUUAGCUAGUUGGUAAGGUAACGGCUUACCAAGGCAACGAUGCAUAGCCGACCUGAGAGGGUGAUCGGCCACACUGGAACUGAGACACGGUCCAGACUCCUACGGGAGGCAGCAGUAGGGAAUCUUCCGCAAAGGGCGAAAGCCUGACGGAGCAACGCCGCGUGAGUGAUGAAGGUCUUCGGAUCGUAAAACUCUGUUAUUAGGGAAGAACAUAUGUGUAAGUAACUGUGCACAUCUUGACGGUACCUAAUCAGAAAGCCACGGCUAACUACGUG
RNAcentral lists this ribosomal RNA (497 nucleotides) under uncultured bacterium. RNAcentral's name for it is "partial 16S ribosomal RNA". It matches the Rfam family "Bacterial small subunit ribosomal RNA", at positions 28 to 507 of the family's 1533-position model. The record is from RNAcentral.